CCAUUCACUGCUGGCACCAUGCAGAGGGCGACUCCUGGGAUGUUUCAUUUAAUCCUCACAGCAGCACAGUUGUCAAUCUGAGGAUGAAGGAGAGAGAAUUGCUCGUGGUCCUGUUUGGACUGCACUGCACCUGUGGCCCUUGCUCUGGGCUCCAGAACUUUUGCCUAGAAAGCAGAGGUGUCUGAGAGCCGGGCUGGUCUGGGAGGGAGGCAGAGGAAAAGACACCAAGCACACUCAGAGCCUGCACCAGUACACCUGCCUGGCAGUGGGUGUGGAAGAGCCAAAACUGCAAUCAAGACCCCUACCCCCACCGGCCAGGUUCUCAGCGCCCACUGGUCUACGUUCCAGCCUCCUGGAGUCCCUCUGAGUGUGUCUGU
Molecule: long non-coding RNA, 377 nt
Filed under: Homo sapiens (human)
Lineage: Eukaryota; Metazoa; Chordata; Mammalia; Primates; Hominidae
Description: HSALNT0272843
Source: RNAcentral